Molecule: unclassified non-coding RNA, 344 nt
Rfam family: Eukaryotic small subunit ribosomal RNA (bases 1-46)
AAGUCGUAACAAGGUUUCCGUAGGUGAACCUGCGGAAGGAUCAUUACUGAGGUUUCCCGGCGCAAGCUGGGGCGAACCCGACCUAUUGUCAUGUGCACGUUGGGGGAGAACGGUGGCGUGUUGGCGUUGUGGCGUGUGACGGAUCGUACCCGAGAGGGUGGAUCCGGAGCGGCCCGCGCUACCGCUGGCGCCCUGACGAACCUUAACUUCGGCGGAAGAGGUAGGCUCGACCUGCCCGCCACCGGCCGUAACGUAUUUUACUCUGCAAACGAGAAUCUGAAGCCUGAUGUAUACCCAAAACAAAAUGAAAAGCAAAACUUUCAACAACGGAUCUCUUGGCUCUG